AGUGAACGCUGGCGGUAGGCCUAACACAUGCAAGUCGAGCGGCAGCACAGUAAGAGCUUGCUCUUACGGGUGGCGAGUGGCGGACGGGUGAGGAAUACAUCGGAAUCUACUUUUUCGUGGGGGAUAACGUAGGGAAACUUACGCUAAUACCGCAUACGACCUACGGGUGAAAGCAGGGGAUCUUCGGACCUUGCGCGAUUGAAUGAGCCGAUGUCGGAUUAGCUAGUUGGCGGGGUAAAGGCCCACCAAGGCGACGAUCCGUAGCUGGUCUGAGAGGAUGAUCAGCCACACUGGAACUGAGACACGGUCCAGACUCCUACGGGAGGCAGCAGUGGGGAAUAUUGGACAAUGGGCGCAAGCCUGAUCCAGCCAUACCGAGUGGGUGAAGAAGGCCUUCGGGUUGUAAAGCCCUUUUGUUGGGAAAGAAAAGCAGCAGGUUAAUACCCCGCUGUUCUGACGGUACCCAAAGAAUAAGCACCGGCUAACUUCGUG
Molecule: ribosomal RNA, 492 nt
Filed under: uncultured bacterium
Lineage: Bacteria
Description: partial 16S ribosomal RNA
Rfam family: Bacterial small subunit ribosomal RNA
Source: RNAcentral